RNAcentral lists this ribosomal RNA (497 nucleotides) under uncultured bacterium. RNAcentral describes it as "partial 16S ribosomal RNA". It matches the Rfam family "Bacterial small subunit ribosomal RNA", at positions 28 to 507 of the family's 1533-position model. The record is from RNAcentral.
GAUGAACGCUGGCGGCGUGCCUAAUACAUGCAAGUCGAGCGAACAGACGAGGAGCUUGCUCCUCUGACGUUAGCGGCGGACGUGUGAGUAACACGUGGAUAACCUACCUAUAAGACUGGGAUAACUUCGGGAAACCGGAGCUAAUACCGGAUAAUAUAUUGAACCGCAUGGUUCAAUAGUGAAAGACGGUUUUGCUGUCACUUAUAGAUGGAUCCGCGCCGCAUUAGCUAGUUGGUAUGGUAACGGCUUACCAAGGCAACGAUGCGUAGCCGACCUGAGAGGGUGAUCGGCCACACUGGAACUGAGACACGGUCCAGACUCCUACGGGAGGCAGCAGUAGGGAAUCUUCCGCAAUGGGCGAAAGCCUGACGGAGCAACGCCGCGUGAGUGAUGAAGGUCUUCGGAUCGUAAAACUCUGUUAUUAGGGAAGAACAAAUGUGUAAGUAACUAUGCACGUCUUGACGGUACCUAAUCAGAAAGCCACGGCUAACUACGUG